This is a long non-coding RNA of Carya illinoinensis, 139 nucleotides long. RefSeq lists it as uncharacterized. Lineage: Eukaryota; Viridiplantae; Streptophyta; Magnoliopsida; Fagales; Juglandaceae. The transcript is spliced from 2 exons. The record is from RefSeq and is a predicted model, not a curated record.
UAUUUAUGAGGUUGCAUUGAAUUAAUUGAAAUGGCCUCCCAAGAGUGGAAUCAAGUGGAGAGGGGAUGGGUGUUAAAAUCGGUGAAGUGUGAUAUUGGCAUGAAUGAUACAGCUUGCAUGAUGAUUUGUUGGCAUGAAA